AUUGAACGCUGGCGGCAGGCCUAACACAUGCAAGUCGAGCGAGCGGCGGACGGGUGAGUAAUGUAUGGGGACUGCCCGAUAGAGGGGAUACCUACUGGAAACGGUAGCUAAUACCGCAUACUAUCGGAUAACCCAUAUGGGAUUAGCUAGUAGGUGAGGUAAUGACUCACCUAGGCUACGAUCCCUAGCUGGUCUGAGAGGAUGAUCAGCAACAAUGGGACUGAGACACGGCCCAAACUCAUACGGAGGCAGCAGUGGGGAAUAUUGCAAAAUGGGAGAAAGCCUGAGGCAGAAAUGCCGCGUGUAUGAAGAAGGCCCUAGGGUGGUAAAGUACUUUAAGUCGGGAGGCGUUACCGACAGAAGAAGCACCGGCUAACUCCGUGCCAGCAGCCGCGGUAAUAC
RNAcentral lists this ribosomal RNA (402 nucleotides) under uncultured bacterium. RNAcentral describes it as "partial 16S ribosomal RNA". It matches the Rfam family "Bacterial small subunit ribosomal RNA", at positions 30 to 526 of the family's 1533-position model. The record is from RNAcentral.